Small nuclear RNA from Erinaceus europaeus (western European hedgehog), 104 nucleotides. The record is from Ensembl. NCBI's taxonomy places the organism in Eukaryota, Metazoa, Chordata, Mammalia, Eulipotyphla, Erinaceidae.
GUGUUUGCUUUGGCAGCACAUAUGCUAAAAUUGGAAUGGUAAAGUGAUUAGCAUGACCCUUGCACAAAGAUGAUACCCACAGUCUUUAACUAUUCCAUAAAAAA